Molecule: ribosomal RNA, 906 nt
Filed under: uncultured archaeon
Lineage: Archaea
Description: bacterial SSU rRNA
Rfam family: Archaeal small subunit ribosomal RNA
Source: RNAcentral
GUCGAUCCUGCCAGACCCGACUGCUAUCAGAGUGGGACUAAGCCAUGCGAGUCAACAUAGCAAUAUGUGGCAUACGGCUCAGUAACACGUAGUCAACAUGCCCAGGGGACGUGGAUAACCUCGGGAAACUGAGGAUAAACCGCGAUAAGUCACUACUUCUGGAAUGGGUAAUGACUCAAAUCUAUAUGGCCCCUGGAUUGGACUGCGGCCGAUCAGGCUGUUGGUGAGGUAAUGGCCCACCAAACCUGUAACCGGUACGGGCUCUGAGAGGAGGAGCCCGGAGAUGGGCACUGAGACAAGGGCCCAGGCCCUAUGGGGCGCAGCAGGCGCGAAACCUCCGCAAUAGGCGAAAGCUUGACAGGGUUACUCUGAGUGAUUUCCGUUAAGGAAAUCUUUUGGCACCUCUAAAAAUGGUGCAGAAUAAGGGGUGGGCAAGUCUGGUGUCAGCCGCCGCGGUAAUACCAGCACCCCGAGUGGUCGGGACGUUUAUUGGGCCUAAAGCAUCCGUAGCCGGUUCUACAAGUCUUCCGUUAAAUCCAACUGCUUAACAGGUGGGCUGCGGAAGAUACUAUAGAGCUAGGAGGCGGGAGAGGCAAGCGGUACUCGAUGGGUAGGGGUAAAAUCCGUUGAUCCAUUGAAGACCACCAGUGGCGAAGGCGGCUUGCCAGAACGCGCUCGACGGUGAGGGAUGAAAGCUGGGGGAGCAAACCGGAUUAGAUACCCGGGUAGUCCCAGCUGUAAACGAUGCAGACUCGGUGAUGAGUUGGCUAUAUGCCAACUCAGUGCCGCAGGGAAGCCGUUAAGUUUGCCGCCUGGGGAGUACGGUCGCAAGACUGAAACUUAAAGGAAUUGGCGGGGGAGCACCACAAGGGGUGAAGCCUGCGGUUCAAUUGGAUUCACGCCGGG